Molecule: transfer RNA, 65 nt
Filed under: bovine gut metagenome
Rfam family: tRNA
About the family: Transfer RNA (tRNA) molecules are approximately 80 nucleotides in length. Their secondary structure includes four short double-helical elements and three loops (D, anti-codon, and T loops).
Source: RNAcentral
UCCGUAGUUCAGUGGUAGAACACCAGCUUCCCAAGCUGGCUAUACGGGUUCGAUUCCCGCCGGGU